Molecule: long non-coding RNA, 223 nt
Organism: Oncorhynchus keta (chum salmon)
Lineage: Eukaryota; Metazoa; Chordata; Actinopteri; Salmoniformes; Salmonidae
Exons: 3
Source: RefSeq, a predicted model, not a curated record
CGUGAGGUAAAGCACUGGGGGACGGCAGUACGCCGUGAGGUAAAGCACUGGGGGACGGCAGUACGCCGUGAGGUAAAGCACUGGGGGACGGCAGUACGCCGUGAGGUAAAGCACUGGGGGACGGCAGUACGCCGUGAGGUAAAGCACUGGGGGACGGCAGUACGCCGUGAGGUAAAGCACUGGGGAACGGCAGUACGCCGUGAGGUAAAGCAGGACGCCGUGA